This is a non-coding RNA of Vicia faba (fava bean), 201 nucleotides long. Lineage: Eukaryota; Viridiplantae; Streptophyta; Magnoliopsida; Fabales; Fabaceae. The record is from the annotation of a GenBank genome assembly.
AUGAUUCAAGGCAGUUUAGUGACUUGUGUCAACAAAUACUUCAAAUUAAAGAAACUUUAUCUCACAAUAAGAACGAGAAAAGAACAAACGGCGCUGCUGCAUUCACCUUUUCUCUCUCUCCGGCGGCGGCGCAACCCUUCUCUCCGUUGUUCAAAUAUCUGCACUCACUUCAUAUCUCAAAGCAAUCAUAUAUUUUGUUAG